UUCUCUCUGAAAAUUACGCUACCUCCCGUUGGUGCCUUGAAGAAUUGGCGAGGAUCUGCGAGUUGCGUAGCCGGAGCCGGAGCCGGAGACUGGUUCUGCCUGUGUUCUUUGGGGUUGACCCCUAUCAUGUUCGAAAACAGAGGGGACCUUUUAAGGAAGCCUUCUUUAGCCACGAAAACAGAUUCGGAGAAAAACAGGCCAACAGAUGGAGGGAAGCCAUGGCCAAAGUUGGUUCCCUUGCUGGUUUAGUUAAAAGGUAAGCUUUUCCCCUUUUGUCUACUAAUUACCUCAAAUCUCUCGUGUUUCUGCAAUUAUUUUAAUUAAAUAUUUUGAUAUAAAUUUAAGAAAUUAAGAAUCACACUACCAUGCGAGUGAGGAAAGAAUCUUAAUUUUAAAAAAAUUAAGAUAAAAUUAUAAAUAACUUAGGUUUUAAAUAAUUUUAUUGAGAUUUAAGAAGUUAGAAAGAUAAAUUUAAAUUUAGUGUUAAUGAUUGUUUUAGGUUUUUAUUUAGUUAACAAUCUAUAUUUCAAAUUAAUUCGCUUAUCUAGCUUUCAUACACACAAAUUGAUAGUGUGUGUUAUUUAAAUUUUAAAUUAAUUGCAAAUUUUAGCUUAUAAUUAAAAAAAAAAAGUAGAAAUUUGUGUUUAUUAUUAAGUAAUUUAUUGCAUGAUUAUAAAAUGAAUUUAGUUAAUAUAAGGUGUUUAUGAGCCGUGGUCCUAUGGUAUUAACUAUUAAUAUAAUGUAUAGUUGCUUUAGUCUAACCCUCAAAAAAAUUUGAAAUGAUUGAAGUUUUUCUAUUUAGAAUUGUCUUGGGUCUAAUUUCUAUUACUUUGGUUGGAUUAAUCGUAACUGCAUAUUUACAAUACAAGCCUGGUGAUCAGUUAAACCUUUGAUUAAUUAACUUACCUUACCUUUUUUUACUAACCCCUUUAAUUCUUUAAUUUUAAUUUAAUUCAAUGAGGUUAAAUUCGAAUUGCUGUUCAAAAUUUUUUCAGUUUGGUGUAAUUUUCGAACUAACAAAAGUAAAAUCACGCUCUGUAGGAUUUGAACCUAUGACAUUGGGUUUUGGUCUUGAACUAUGAACAUUAAAUUUUGUUCAAAACCAUUUAUAUUUAUAAACAACUAACUAAAUUCAUUUAAGCUUAUUUAUAUAUUUUUUAUUAAAUAAAAUAUAAUUAUUUUUAUUUAAUAUUUAGUAAUUAUAUAUAUUUUGUCAUCUUUUACUAUCAAUAUUUUUUUUCCUUUUAUUAAAUCUAAACAUAUACAAUUUAAAAUUUUUUAACAUUUACAUUAUAGUAUAAUAUAUUUAAUUUUUAUAUAAUAUAUAAAUUACUUGAUAUACUCAUGACCAGUGUUUACCCCUUUAAUAAGCCUACAGAACGUGGAUGAUUUGUAAUUGGGCUCGCUUCAGUAGAUAUCUUGAAAAACCAAAAUAAAAUAUAACACAAUCUCCGAUUCAUUCAAGGAUUUGAUCAUUGAUACAAAAAUGAUUUCAUUGCUUUUUAAUAAAUUGGUUAUUGUUGCUGACGAUUGUCUAGCAACUUAAUCUUUUUACCUUCUUGAUAACCAAGACAAUCGUCAUUAAUUACUUUCCUUAUUGACAAAUAAUAUUAUAACAAUCGUUUAGGAUUUAAUCUAUCAAUAGUAACAAAAAAAAAAUCCAAUUCUGACCAACAAACAUACAAUCAAGGUUCAUUUAAGUUAGAUCGAAUGCUCACACUACACGAACAAAGAUGUAGUAACUCAAGUUAUGACUAAAAUAUUGGAACUGUAUUGUAUUAAAAGUCCAAAUCGCAAAAACUUGUCAAAAUUAUACUUUAAACUCAUUUUUCUCUAAUUAGUCUCUAAAUUUAUAAUAAAUAAAAUAUAUUUAUAAAUGAUAUAAUUAAAAACAUAAUUAGAGAAAAAAUAUAACAAAUAAUUUAGAAAUUACGCAUUUUAUCAGUAACAUUGCUUUAAUAUAUUUUUCUAAACUUCUCAUUCUUAUAUGUUUAUGCACACUCAAAAUCUCGUUCAAUAGCAAUCAAGUUAAAAGUCUAUCAGCUAAACUCAAUUAAUAUUUUAAUUGUGAUCUUUAAACCAAUAACAUUAUCCAAGAGAAUGCCUUUACUUUAUCAUGAAUGAAAGAUAGUGGUUGGCAAUUAGAAUACCUAUAAAGCUGUAAAUUAUAUUAGAGUAGAAGUCGAAAUCCCAGAUUUUUUAAAAAAAAGAAAGCAAGGCUCGACACAUUUAUCUAAGAUGUUCCAAGUUUUCAUUGCUGCAAUAGUUUGAUGCAACUCUUCUUUACCAAGUAGGGUCUUCUAACUUUUACGGUGCAUUCAGGUUGGUUGACAGUGAUGAAAGGGAAUUGAUUCGGGUUCUGCUGAGAGAAGUUCUGCAACAAGCGAAUAAUACUCCUGUGGAAGUUGCAACCUACGCAGUUGGACUGGAUACGCGGGUGACAGAGCUAACAAAUCUCUUAGACGUGAAGUCCAAUGGCAUUAAAGUUGUGGGGCUUCAUGGGAUUGGCGGGAUUGGGAAGACAACCCUUGCCAAGGCUGUCUUUAACAAGAUACUCGUACACUUUGACCACCGCAGCUUUAUCUCAAAUGUCAGAGAACUUUCAAAACAAGGAGACGGUUUAGUAUCUCUCCAGAAAAAACUCAUUGGUGAUCUCUUCGGUUCCACUGGUAAUUUUCAUCUUCCUGCGGAUGAAUUCGAUGCUAAUGCCUCGAGAAUCAGAAAGAUUAUUAAUGAAAAUAUUAAUGAAAAAAGGGUUCUAAUUGUCCUGGAUGAUGUCGACCAAGAAAACCAACUGAAUGCACUAGGACUAGGUGCAAGAGUCAAAUGGCAAAAUGAUGGCAGUAUUCGGAUCAUUAUUACAACAAGAAAUAAAGGAGUUUUAAAUGAAUGUUAUGUAAAUCGGACUUACGAGGUCAGGGAAUUGCAUUUUGAUCAAGCACUAGAACUUUUCAGCUAUCAUGCGCUCAGAAGAGAGAAACCAACAAAAGAGUGAGAAAUUGUCCAAGCAAAUUGUAGCUCUCACUGGAAAUUUACCUUUGGCUUUGGAAGUGUUCGGUUCGUUUUUGUUGGGCAAGAGGAACGUAACAGAAUGGGAAGAUGCUUUGAACAAGUUGAGAGAUGUUCGUCCACACGAGCUUCAAGAUGUGCUGAAGAUAAGCUUCGAUGCGCUAGACAGAGAAAAUCAACGCAUAUUCCUAGAUGUAGGCUGCUGUUUUCUCGAUUUGCAUACCAAGAGAGAGGACGUGGUUUCAAAGCUGAAAUAGGGUUAGGAGUUCUUGAGGAAAAAUCACUGAUUAAGUUCACUGAGGGCGAUGCUCUUUGGAUGCAUGAUCAACUUAGGGACAUGGGAAAAGAGAUGGGUUUUUUACAAAGAUUUUACAAUAAAAAAGUGGUGGAGUAAUGAUCUAAAGUUUUAAGGACCUGAUAUGUAAAAUUACCAUUUAAUUGUUUAGAAAGUGAAAUGGUGCUCCUGAUAGUGUGGCGGCGCUAAACUUGAAAAGUAGCUAAGUGACUUCUUAAUCCUCCUUAUUUAUUAUUUUUUUUUAUUUUCCUUCAACUCACUUUUUUAUUUAAUAAAUAAACCUUCAACUUAUUUUUGUAGUUAAAUAAGCUAUUAAUCUAUGAUUUUUACUCAUAAAAGUCUUUUAUUUUAUUUUUAAAGUAAAUAUAUUUUACUUAAAGUAAAACUAUUUAAAAAUGUAUAAACUAAUUCGCACUUUAUGUUUAUGUGAAUUUGAUGAGAAUAGUUUAUUAAAUAAAAAAAUUUAUGUUUAUCAAAGGCUUAUAGCUAUAAUAGUCCCUUAAGAAAAAACCAAAAAAAGUUACUAAGCCCCUUGACUUAAUUUGAACCUAGUUGAGCCCUUCUCAUUAACCUGAAAAAUUAAUUAAGCUCUUACAUUAAUAAUUUUCACAUUUCGUUACAUUAACCAUUAAAAUCAAUUGACGGACCAAUUAGAUGACGAAAUAUGAUAGCCUGUGAUUUAAUUUUUCAUAUCUCAAAAAAAAAUCAUAAAAAUAUCUAUCUAUAAUAUAUAUCAAAGCACGAGUCUUGAAAAAACUUUUGAACUGACAAAAAUAUCCUUUAUUGUUAAUUAUAUUACUAAACUACAUAAGAAUAAUAAUUUAUUAAUAUUAUUAUAUAAUAAUAAAAAGUAAGAUUAAUUAAAAUAAUAAUAUAUUAAUGUGAAAUUAAUUAAUUUGGUCAUAUAUUAUAAAGGCUCUACUUAAAAAAAACAUAAUAUAUUAUUAAUUAAUAAAACUAUAAAUCUAUAAAAUCAUUGAAUAUAAUUGGAUGAAUUUAAAAUAAUAAGAAUUCAAGUUUUUUAAUUAAAUAAAAAUAUUUUUAUAUAUAAAUACUAUUUAUAAAUUUAAAAAUAAUUAUAAUUUAAUAGAAGUUGUGAGAAUUAUAUAUUUCAAAAUAAUUAUAAUUUAAAAUACAAUUAUUAUUAAAAAUAUUGUGCUAAUUUUAAAAUAGAAUUGUUAUUUAAGUAGAACUCUAAGCAUAAAAUAUAGGAAAAAGACAAAAAAAAUUGUGAUAAUUAUAAUUAUAAUUUAUUGUUAUUAGUUAAAAAAUUUGACGAUCCUAUUUUUAUUAAAGUAAAGUAGAGUUAUUACUUAAUUAGAAUUCCAAGUAUCUUAAUAUCACUUAACUAAUAUUAGAUUUAAUUUAAAAAAUUAAUAGAAAUACUAGGCAUGCUUUAUUAAAAAACCAAAAGUAAUAAUAAAACUGAUCACCCAUAAAUGUAACCCAAAUAGAAAAAAUACAUUAUAAUUAUAAACUAUUCUCAUCAAAUUUAGUAAAUUUUUUUAUUUAAUAAACUAUUCUCAUCAAAUUCACAUAAACAUAAAAUACGAAUUAGUUUAUACUUUUUUAAAUAGCUUUACUUUAGGUAAAAUAUAUUUACUUUAAUAAUAAAAUAAAGGGUUUUAUGAGUAAAAAUCAUAGAUUAAGAGCUUAUUUAACUACAAAAAUAGGUUGAGGGCUUGUUUAUUAAAUAAAAAAGUGAGUUGAAGGGGAAUAAAAAUAAUAAUAAAUAAGGAGGGCUAAAAAGGCAAUUAGCCACUUUUCAAGUUUAGUGCCGCCACACUAUCAGGCGGCACCAUUUCACUUUCUAAACAACAAAAUGGUAAAUUUGUAUAAUAGUCCUUAAAACUUUAGAUCAGUACAUUUCAGUCCUGUGCCGCCUGUGGCAGGCCCUCCACCAGUUUGGUGCCGCCUGUGGCAGGCCCUCCACCACUUUUUUUGUAUUAUUUUGGUAAAUAAAAAAAUUAAUAUUAUUUUUGUAUUUUUUUAUUUUUUUGUAAUAUUUUUGUAAAAAACCAAAAAGAGAUUGCGCAAAAUGAAAACGACGAUCCUGAAAUGCGCAGCAGGCUCUGGGAUCGAAACCAAAUCAUGACUGUCCUGCAAAAUCACAAGCUAUAUUAUAUAUAAGAAUUGUCGUGCAUAUUUGAUACUGUUGAUACAUUACUUCGUUAUACUAUUGACAAUAGGGAACAAGAAGCAUUGAGGGUAUUGUAAUGGACAUGAAGAAAGUCUAGAAUGGGAAUCAGGUGGUAGUCCAUACAAAACCAUUUAAAUCAAUGGUUCAUCUAAGAUUGCUUCAGGUGAAUCAUGUGAAACAGGAAGGAAAGUUUAAAUUUGUUCCUCAUGAACUCAAGUGGCUUCAAUGGCAAGGAUGUGCAUUGAAAACUCUUCUUUCUGAUUUUUGUCCUCAAAAGCUUGCUGUCCUUGAUCUCUCAGAAAGCAAAAUCGAAAAGCUAUGGAGCUCUUACUCUAACAAUGUAAUGACAUAUCGUUUUAGAUAUACGCACUGUCUACUUUCUUCUGCUUGUAACUAGCUAGUUUGUGGAAAUAUAUAAGCAAUAUUUGUUUGUUUCAGGUUGCUGAAAACUUGAUGGUCAUAAACCUGCGUGGUUGCCCUCAUUUGGCUUCUCUUCCUGAUUUAUCAGGACACAAAAACCUGCAAAAGAUUGUUCUCGCGUAUUGUGUAAAACUGAUAAACAUUGACAAGUCAGUUGGUACUUUAAUUUCCUUGCACCACUUGCAUAUGACAGGCUGUUUUAACCUUGUUGAAUUUCCAAGUGAUGUCUCAGGGAUGAAAAACCUUCAAACCCUUGUCCUCACCGAUUGCUCCAAUUUGAAGGAAUUACCCGAGGACAUAGGCAGCAUGAGGUCCCUCAAAGAACUAUAUGUUAAUCGAACUGGCAUCGAGAAACUGCCAGAAUCUAUUUACCAUCUCGAGAAACUUGAAAAACUGAGCCUAAAUCGUUGCAUACAUAUCAAACAGUUGCCAAGAUGUGUAGGACAGCUAGCUUCUCUCAAGAAACUUCAUCUUGAUGGAUCUGGAUUACAAGAAUUGCCUGAUUCUGUUGCAUAUUUGGAGAACCUGGAGAAAUUAAGUUUAAUAUCUUGCGAAUCAUUGACUGCAAUUCCUGAUACUGUUGGCAAUCUCAACUUAUUGAAAGAGUUGUUCAUAAAGGGUAAAGCAAUCACAGAGUUGCCACAUUCUAUCUGUUCUUUAUCAUAUCUCAAGUGCUUGAAUGUUAGAGGCAUACAGAUGAGGAAAUUGCCAAACUCAAUUCGAGGACUGAUUUCUUCAGUGGAACUUGAUAUAGAAGGCCCAUCAAUUACGUGUCUCCCAAGUCAGAUUGGUCAUUUGAGAUUACUUGAGAAGCUUGUGAUAUUGAAUUGCACAUCACUUGAAUCUCUGCCAGAUUCAACUGGGAGCUUGUUUGCUCUCACUUUUAUCAACAUAUGCAACGCCAGUAUUACUGAGUUGCCAGAGUCUUUUGGGAUGUUGAAAAAUCUCAUCACGUUAAGAUUGGACGAGUGUAGAAAGCUUCAUAAACUUCCAUCCUCAAUGGGAAAUUUGAAGUCAUUGCAUCAUUUGUAGGUGAAGGAAACUGCUAUGACAGAAUUACCAGAAAGCUUUGGCAUGCUCACAUGUUUGAUGGUGUUGAACAUGAGAAAGGAUCCCAACAAGCAAGAGCAACCAAAUUCAUCAUUUGUAGCGUUGCCAGCAUCUUUCACGAAUCUCUUAUCGCUGCAAGAACUUGAUGCUCGGACCUGGAGAAUAUGUGGUGAAAUCCCAGAUGAUUUUGAGAAGCUAGCAGCAAUAGAGAUUCUAGAUUUGGGUAGCAAUGAUAUUUAUAAACUACCAUCAAGUCUAAAGGGACUGUCAUUUCUAAGAGAUCUCAAGCUGCCCAAAUGUGAAAAGCUUCAGUCCCUGCCUCCACUUCCCUCUAGUUUGGAGAAGUUGAAUCUUGCUAACUGUAUAUCAUUGACGACAUUAUCUGAUCUUUCCAAUAUAAAGGGCUUACAAGAAUUAAACCUUACAAACUGUGAGAAAUUGGUAGAUUUGCCAGGCCUUGAGUCCCUAACGUCCUUGAGAGAAUUGUAUAUGAGUAACUGUAGUACCUGCGCUUCAGCAGCAAAGAAAAGACUCUCCAAGGUUAGUUUUCUUUCUUUUAGAAAGUUUAUAUUUAAUGCACCUUCAGUUUAUAAAGCUUGGUAUAUUUAUAAUGACAAAACAUCUUUUUAUAAUCUUUCCAUGUAGUAUAUUUUAUCAUCUCACCGUAAUGUUUAGAUUCAAGUUUCAAGAUAAAAACACACUAAGUAAUAUUUUUCCAAUUUUGUGAAGAACUUAAAUAUGGUAUAAAUAGAUAUUAUAUAUAAUAUUUUUUAUUGAGUUUUUUCAAAUAAUAAUUAGCAAAUAAAUCACGUUUGGGAUGGAGCUUUUGAAUAUUGAUGCAACUAAUUUUAAAGGUUUAUCUCAAGAAUCUGAGAAAUCUAAGUAUGCCUGGAAGUAGAAUUCCAGAUUGGUUUACACAAGAUAUGGUUACCUUUUCAAGCCACAAAACCUGUGAUCUCACUGCGAUGAUUAUUGCAGUUGUUGUUUCCAUUAACCAUUAUAAUCCAGAUGAACUGAGAUACCAACUGCCUGCCGUGUCGGACAUUCAAGCACAGAUCUUCAAUGGCGUGGAGGCAAUAAUGACCACUGCAUUGAACUUAAUUGGGGUACCUAGAACCAACCAAGACAAUUGUAUUGUACUGUUUUGCUACGAUGAAAUUCCAGAGCUAAAAUGUGGUGAUUCUGGUGAUUUGCAUGCUAAAAGAAUGUUGAAAGAUUGUGUGUUUGAGCUUUAUUUUCAACAUGAAGAAAAGAGUAUUUUGAUAUGUUAAUGUUCGAUAGUUGAAAUCAACUCAAUUGUUUUACUAGAGUGAACUGAUUUAUCUAGAUGUGAUUUGAGUUGUAUGUAUUUAAGCAUGUGUAUUCACGAGUAUGAAGACGGGUAAUCGAAAUGAAAAAUCUAUAUUUCAAAAAAUAUGAUAUAGAGAAAUACUUAUUGAAAAAAGAUAUAUGAGAUUAAAUUGAUUAGUGAUUCUGGAAAGUUAGUGAAAGUGUUUCAUGAAAGUUGGAAGUAACUUCUUCUGGUAAGAUUUUCGAGGACGAAAAUCCCUAAAGUGGGGAGAGUUGUAGCAGCCCGAUUUUGGGUCUAGAUGGAACAAUGGUUUCGGAACCACAAAUCCGACGAGGAAAAAAUUUAUUUUAAAAUUAUGACAUGGGUUGCAUUAUGAUAGGAAGGUUGCAUGAAAAUACUGAUAUGAAAAUUUUAUCGAUUUAGUGAUUAAUUAGGGAAAUGACUUAUUUGUAUAAAAUGUAGAAUUUGAAUUCUAGAAGCUAGAAGGGUUAACUAGCUAUGAAAUUGUAAUACCCCGAAAAAUACUACAGUAAGAAAGUAAGAUAAUAUCCCUAAUAUGGUAAAAUAAGGAAAUAAAGUGAUAAAAAGGGUAAUUGAGUUAUGUCAAUAUUGGAAAGUAUAUUAUGACAUAUUAAUUCAAGAAAGGAUUAAAUUGCAAAAGUGAGAAAAGUUUUGUUACCCAAGGGUAAAUACUCAAAAUUUGAGGGGUUAAAGUGUAAAUAUGAAAAAGUUGAAGGACCAAUAGUGUAAAUAUUUUAAGGGUGGAAUAAUCUAGAAACUAAGAAAGAUGGAUGAAUUGGGACCAAAUUGAAUAGAUGAAGGAAUUAUGAGGGACUAAAUUGUAAUUUUACCAAAUUAAGUGAUGACUUAAGGAUGAAAUUUUAAAAGAUCUAAAGGGCAAAAUGGUCAAUUAGAAGAAAGAGAAAUCUAGAAAAUAAUGAUGAUGUUGGAGAUAUUUUAGAUUAAAUAAAUAAAUAUUAGUUUAUUAAUAUUUUAAUUUGAUUUUUAAAUGAUAUUUUAUUAUUUUAUUAUUAUUUUAUUUAGUGUAUAUAUGUGGAAGAAAAGAUGAAGAAUCAUCUUCUUCUUCCCCAUGCAACUAACGUAUGAAGAGAAAAGAAAGAGAGAAAAUUUUUUUUCUUUACAAUUUGGUCCUUUUACUAAAAAUUCAUCAUUUUCACUUAGAAAUCAAAAGAAUUUCCAUAUCCAUCAAGAGAGAAAGAUAACAAGGAGACUAUGGGGAGCUAGAACAUCAAGUUAGAUUCAAGAAAUAGAAGUUGGAGGAGGGAGAAAAUCAAGUUAAAGAUUGAAAUCAAUAGCACAAGGUAAGAACAUCAAGAUUUUUAUAUACUUUUGAGUUUGAUAUUAUUGAAAAAGUAGGAAAUUAAUGUUAAGGUAAAGUUUUAUUAUAUAAGGUUUUAUAUUCUUGUUAUGUUAGUAAAGGGAAAUAAGAGAAAGUGAUGGAAAAUAUUGAAGAGAAAGGAAAGGAAAGUGUUAUAAAUUUAGUUAUCAACAUUUUACACUAAAAUAGUUUUGAGACAGCAGCAGUAGUCUGACUUUGAAAAUCUACCAAAAAUCGUAUAAAUUGAAUUAGAGGAUGAAAAAAAUAUGAAAUUAAAUUUUAUUGAGUCUAGUUUCUCAUAGAAUAAACGGUGUAAGUAGUGGAAUUGUAAAUUAUGAGAUAUACUAGGUUUUGUAAGAUAAGGUCAGAAUGAUUUCGGGUUCCCCUGUACUGAAUUUGGAAAAUAAUCAAAAAUUGGAGAAAAUUAAUUAGAAGGUUAAAUUUAUAUUUUUAAAUCCUUAAUGAGUAUAUUUUCAAUAGAAACAAACGGUAACAUCAUUCGAAUUUUUUAGAAAGAGAUAAUUAAUUUUUAGUGAAGAGGGGUCAACGCUGUCGAGCAGUGAAACAGUGGAAAAUUUAAAGAAUAAACUGUACUAUUUGGCUGAACCAAAAAUUAUGAAAAUUUUAUGAUAAUAAUAUAUGUGAGUCUAGUUUUAGGGAAAAUUAACGGACCUUAAUUUUGAGCUCUUUAUCUCCGGAUAAAAAUAAUUUAGUGACUCUGACUCGGGUAAACAACUUUGAAUAUACAUGUGAGUGAAUAGUGAAAUUAUAAUUAAGGUUGUUUAAGUGUGUUAUACACAUUAAGGAUGUGGAAUGGAGUGGAGGAGGAGGAAAAAAAUAUAUGUGAAUAUUUAGAUAAUAUGAGUUUAUUUUAAAAGAGUUAAUUUACAUGUUUAGGUUUAGGGACUAAAUUGAAUAAAAGUAAUAUUUUAAGGGUAAAUUUGUAAAAAUGUCAAAAAGUGACCAAAUUAAAUGAAAUAUUAAUUUAGAUCAAGAUUGGGUGGAAAUUCGAGAAAAUAGAAAAUUACCAAAAUGUCCCUAAAUUUUGGUAUUUCUGCAAUUUAGCUUGGUAAGUUUGUAUGAACUAUAUUCUGUAUAAUUUUAUUUAAAGUGAACGUUAUUUGGUGAUGAAUAUUAUAUAGAUAUGUGUUUUAUUAUCGGAAUUGAAUUGUUAUUGGUAAUAUGUACAAUUAUUAGAUGCAUUGAAAUGAUUAUCGGAAGCUCGAUUGUGGUUGGCAGGAAAUGUUGCAUUAUUUAUAUUGUGAAGAAUUAUAAAAGCAUGUUAAUAAUUUGAAAGUUUUAAUAAUUAAUGGAAUUUUAUAACUCGGUUCAAUACGUUUACAAGUGUAUGUGUUCUGGUAAUGCCUCAUACCCUAUUCCGGUGUCGAAUAUGGGUAAAGGGUGUGACAACAAUGUUCACUUGUGUCGAUAUCCCGCAUAUCGUCCCUUGGUUUCCAUGUUGAAGGAUGGUUUUAAGAUUAAAGUGACCAGGCAAAACGCGCCCUACGUAAAGGGCGUAGAGCUGAAGAAAGCUGGGAUUUUUCUAGUUUAUGAAAAAGAUGAUGAUUAUGGUGGCGAUGAAGAUUCACUUGAUGAGAACCAGCAGUCUGUAUCAGAAAAAUUAGCCAAGUUUUUCAGCUCUCUUGAAGAAAAUGAUGGAAUUGAUCACCAAUCCAACUGCAGCCAUGAAUAAAAGAAGCGCUUCAACUCCAAAGUAAGAAACAAAAAUGUCGCCCAAUCAAAUCGUGCUGCAGUUGGUGCGGGAGGUUAAGCGUAAAAUCAUGAGAGAUUUCAAGGCGUGUAUGCCUGUUUCUAUUAUUUCACUUCACUCAAGUUGAACGCAGUAUACAUUCUUAGGAUCCAUUUGGAUGGAUAAUGAAAUAGAUUUUAGUGAGUCUAAAGACGAGGGUGACAAUAAAAUUAGUAAGACUGGUGAUUGAGAUUAAAAUUAAUGGUGAGAUAAAUGUAAUUUGGAUGUAAAUAACCAAAAAUAGUGAUAAUAGUUAAGGGAGUUGUAGUAAAAAGGUUAAAUGAUUAGUAAAUAUAUAUUUUUAGAAAUUUACCAGGUGACCGUGUCGAAUCCCAUGAAGAUUCGAUAAAUUAGAUUCGAUAUAUUCAAUAACCCAUAUGGUUAUGGGCAUAUUCAAGUCACUUUAAUCCUAUAACAUAACCUAAUUGUUUUUUCAUUCGAACUAUGUUAAUUUGUUCUUGUGAUUAGAAUAAAAGGACAAUUACGAAUCAAUCUAUCUUUAUUAACUAUGUAUUAAUUUAAAUAUUUUACCCCCUAAGCUGAUUAAUUUCCUAGCUAUUCAUAACAAAAGAUUGACUAAGGAAAUAAUAAAGGCUUUAUUCACAAUUUAACCCUUGAGCUAUACUUGUUUUCCCACAUUGAUACUUAAAUAUUUUUUAUAUCAAUUUGAUAUUUGAGUUUUGCAUCAUACUUGUUUUGAUACUUAAAAGUUAAUAAUAUAAAAAAAAUGUCAAUUAAAAUAUGUCACAUCAUUGAUGACAUGGCACAUUGAUCAAGCUGACUUGGUAUUGACCAAUAUUGACCCUGUAUUGACCCACGUUGGUCUAUGUUGACCGAGCAUUGACCAAUCUUUGACCCUCUUUGACUUAGGUUGAAAAGCAAUUGAUGGGUAAAAAAUCAUUGAAAAGUAUAAAAGAAAUAUUUAAAAUGAAAAUAGCUUAUAUAAAAUUAUUUAAAAAUAUUAUAUUAUUACUAUUUUGUUGUUAUUUUCUUGAUAUUGUAUAACUCCUAUUUUAUUAUUAAUUUUACUACUAUUUCAAAAGUAUUUACUUGCUAAGUUGCAUCUAUUUUAGUGUUAUUUAAGUUUUUUUUUAAUAUUCUCUAUUUAUUGGAAAACAUUUAUUUUAAUGGUUAGAAGUAAGUCAAUGAAGAUUGUAUCAAUUUUAGGAUUAAAUUAUAAUAUUAUCAUACACUAACUUAUUUAUUUUAUAAAAUUUAUAGCACCAAACAUGCUAUUUUUCAUGGAUGGAGAAAAGUGAGAUAUGGAAAGACAGUUGCAAAAUUUCUGGGAAGAUAUCCUUUUUUAAAAAUAUAUUAAUUGAUAAUGAAAUAAAAAAUAUUUGGAUAAAUUAUCUAGCUGGUGAUCCAAUUCUUUGGACGUUUUUAUUUUAAUCACUCAAAUUAAAAAAAGCUUAUAAUUUAAUCACUACCCAUUAAAAUUUUUCGACAAACUUUUCCACCAAUCAAAAUUCUCCUUCAUUCUUCUUUUUCUUUUUUGGUCAUAUUUCUUUCUCCUCCUCUUUCCCUAACCCAACUUUGUUCCCUUCCCAUGCCCCUGUUUCCAACACCCGACUCGGCCAUAUCACCCCACAUCAAUUCCUGAUAACUAGAGACGUCUUCCCCUGCUCUAGAACUACCCUCUAUUGUGUUAUAUACAUCUCAUCAUUGCUUGAAUUAUCUCCUUAAGGUUGUGCUGGUGGAGGCUGCAUUUCCAUUUUUUGUCCUUGUUCUUGCUUUGAACUUGAUGGACGUCGAAGCCACCAAAAAUAAUUCUUACAAUUAAAAUAACUCUAAAUAGUAGUAAAGAGUGGUAGUAGGGUCGAGCCCACAAGGAUUGGUAUUAUAAUCAACUUUUGCGUUUAACUUAUGAUCAGAAUUUCUGUCGUGUCGAUAACCGUGGCAAUAGUCGUUUGUGCCUACGACUCCAACUGAACCUGCUGAAAAAUAAACAAAUAAAUCACGAGAGUUUUAAAAUAUUUAGAAAUUAAAUAAUUGAAAUAGCAUAAAUAAACAAUUAAAUAAAUUUGAAAUAAAAUUAAAUUGGGAAUUAAAUUCGGAUUUUGUAAACAGAGAUAAUAAGCUUUAGCCCUAGACUCGGUGGAUUCCGAAUUUUGAAUCGAUCCUUAAAAAUUAAUUUUCUUCUCCAAAUAAUAAGCUGGUUAUAGCAGUUAAGAACGUCAUAACCGCCAAUUCUUUCUCUCGUAGUUGAUCCCGGCACGACCUACAAACCAACCAUUACCGAUUAUCUAACCGAGAUACACGCAUUUUCAAUUCAAGAUUCUGGCAGCCUUACGUUCUGAAGAACCUAACUCAGAUUAACGGCAUCAAUCGCACGAGUAGCUUAAACCCGAUCAUUUCUCCCUUGAUUUGUUCUCGGUGAUCCGAAUACAGCAUAGCUGACUCGUUUCCCUAACUAUCCACAAACAUGACUGCAACCCAUUGCCCUUUUUUAUUUGAAAUCGAGUUAACUUUAAAGGAUAAAUUUGUCAAUCUCGAUACUUAGGAAAAUAGUGAAUAUCGAUUGAAAAGAUUUUUAGUAUGGAUACGUAUCUCACGAUUCCCGACCGGAAAGAAUGCCAACCUAAAGCUAAAUUACAAUUUAGUGAGGCAUAGAUUUAAUUAUGCUUUGGUUGGCUAUGGAGUGGAUUUAAAUGAAAAUCGCGGAAAUUGAAAAAGGAAGGGACUUGGAAAGCAAUUAAACAAAUUUUGCAAAAAACAAUUAAAUGGAAAUGAAAGUAGCACUAGCCACUGACUCAUGAAUUUGGAAGGAAAAUAAUAAUUCUUAUUUAAUUCCAAGUGAAAUCUAAUGUCUUUUCAAGCUACCACUUUUAUAUAUAUAUAUAUAUAUAUAUAUAUAUAUAUAUAUAUAUAAUUUACUAAAUUUGACCUAACUAUCCACUACAUAUAAUUAAAAUUAAAUAAAAAUAAAAUCAGAUUUUCUUCUUAUAUUAGCUUUCAAUAAGUCGAAAGAAAUCUAAUAAGUCUUUCAUUAUUUUCAAGUUUUUGAUUUAGUCCCACUUUAUUGACUGUGCUGCAAAUUGGUCCUUUUUUUGCCCCUUAUUUUGACUCAUAGCAUUCAAUUACAUUUCUGCCAAGAUUAAAAUAUAAAAUUACUAAUUUAGCAGGGAUCAAUUCAAGACUUAACUGAUUUAAUCACAAAAAAUAAUACAAAUUUAACAUGUUAUAAGAACUUUCAUGGGAAAACAACCUCAUUAUAUUAUCCAGUUAAAACCCAAAAUAUUGGUGCCAUCAUUAAGAACAAGAAGUUAUUGUACAACACAAAACCCCAAGUGCUCAACCCAAGGUUCAUCAACAUAUGCUUAAUGUAAACCGUUUCAGUAGCGAUGAUAGUGAAACACGCAAAAACCCAUAAUAUGCAAUAAAAGUAAAAGCGGAAUCACUAGCUACAUACUCAUCAUUUAGUAAAUUUGAUUGUAAAUCAGGAUUCUGGCAAAUCAUGCUAACUGAUGAAUCAAAACCUUUGACAGCCUUUAGUGUUCCUAAUGGUCAUUAUCAAUGGAAGGUAAUGCCAUUCGGUCUAUGUAAUGCCCCACAAGUUUUUCAAAGAUGGAUGGAUUCUAUUUUUAAUAAGUAUAAAAAAAUUUGUGUGGUAUAUAUAGAUGAUAUCUUAGUCUUUUCAAAAACACUUGAAGAGCAUAGAAAACAUCUAAAUGUUAUUUCUCAAGAAUUCCUAAAACAUGGAAUUAUAUUAAGCCCUAAAAAGAUAGAGCUUAAGAAAACAGAAAUUGAAUUUUUAGGAUGAAAAUUAUCAGCUCAUGGUCUUCAACUCCAAGAUCAUAUUAUUGUAAAAAUAAAAGAAUUUCCUGAAAAAAUAGAAGAUAAAAAACAUCUUUCACAAUUUUUAAGAAUAGUUAAUUAUGGAUGAACCUUUUUUCCAAAAUUAGCUGAAAAAAUAGGAGGAUUAUAUGAUAAAUUAAAAAAGAAUAUUUGUUUUUGUUGGACUAAACAAGAUGAAGAAAUUGUAAAAAAAUAUAAAAACAGAAAUUACUUAUAAUCCAAAGGUUUAUUUACCUAAAAAAGGAGAUAAACUAAUUUUAGAAACUGAUGCAUCACAAUAUUAUUGGGGAUGUAUUCUGAAAGCUAAAACAGCUAAUAAUGAAGAACUUAUAUGCGGAUAUAGUUCAGGAAAAUUUAAGCCUAAUGAGGUUAAUUAUAUUAUUUAUGAAAAAGAAUUAUUAGCAAUUAAAAAAGGAAUAAAAACUUUCCUUAUUUAUUUAGCACCUGAAAAGUUCAUUAUAAGAACUGAUAAUCAGGCAGUCAAACAGUUUUUAACUAACAAUAGUUUAAAAACUGUUCCUAGAAGAAUUAGGUGGUAUAAUGAUUUAUGUACUUUUAAUUUUGAAGUUUUUUAUAUUAAAAGUGAUGAAAAUCUACUUGCUGAUUUCUUGAGCAGGCCUCAUGGAUAGAGGUAAACAACCUCUAAUAGUUGGUGAAUGGACAACCGUUCACAAAAAGCCCAACAAAGGGAAAGCAGAAUCAAACUCCAAAAAAGGAUUUGUACCUGCACAAAAACCAUUUUAUCCUAACCAAGGAUAUUAUGUGUCUUAUCCAAUGGUAAACCAACCACUUGGAACAAAUAUUUUAAAUUACCCUAUGAUAAAUCAACCAAUGGGAAAUACAUUUUUAUUGACCCCAAACACGGCGAGUCAAUUAAAUUGGUCCCAAAAUCUGAAUUCAGUAUCACAAACAAGUUAUGCUGAAGUCAUUAAUGGAGCUGAAAAUUUGUUGAAUCAACAACAAAUUCAAGAUUUAAAAGAUCUUUCAAAAAUUAAAGAUUUUUAUAAUCCUGGUUUAUCACCAGAAUUUUAUGAUUUAUAAAUAAGAUAUGGAAAACCCAUAUUUCAAACCAAAGAGCCAAUUUCCGAAGAGCUCUUACCAGAUUUUCAUCUUUCUUAGUUGAAAAAACAACUAAAGAAAAUGAAGCUGAAGAUUUAUUAUUAAAAUCUAUUUUAUAUAGAGAAUGGGAUGAAUUCCAAAUGGAAUUUAUGGAAAAAGAGGAGAUAAACAAUCUUCUUGAUAUUUUUCAAUAUCUUAUUUAUAAAGGGAAAAAUACCCCUAUUAUAAAUAAAAUAUUUAGAAUUUGUUUAUAUAAUAAAUCUAGACAAAUUUUACCAGUAGAAAUAUUCAACAAAAUUAAUGAAACUAUCUGUAACCAGCAGAUAAUUCAAUUUCAAAAAUCAUUUUCUGAACAUUUUCUACAAUCUUAUGUUUUUACAAAUUUUAUAAGCAAAGAAUAUCCAGCUAUAAAAUUUAGACUGGACCAUGAACCGUUUGAUAUAACAAGUAUCGAAUGGGGUUUUGUUAGAGAAAUAGUAGUACAAAAUUUUUCUUUUCAUCUUUUAAAAGAUUUUCCAGCUGUAGUAAAAUCUUUAUUACAAACCAUCGUAAAAAACGAUGACUUUUUCUAUUAUUUCUAUAUUCAAAUAAGUACUCUUAUUGGUAUUUCUGAAAAAGAAAAAUUUUUUCAGCCAUAUCAAAUAUGGAAAAUCCACAGAAUGCUCGGAAGCCCCCGACUAUCUGCUGUAGAUGAAGACAAAGAUUACUUGGCAAAAACAAUUGACAAGUGUCAAGAUAAUUUAAGCUAUUAUCAAAUCCAAGCCGGUCUUGAUUUAAUGGCUAAAGCUAAAUAUCUUCUUCAAGAAAGAAAUUAUCAAUUUAGAACUGAUGAAAGAAGAAUAUUAGCAUAUAAUUCAUAUCUCAUUGAAGAAAAUGAUGACGGCAUCAAUCUGCUAAAAAAGAUAGCAGCCAUGGACAUUGAAGAUUUUCCAUCUAACAUUCUGCAACAAAUCAGAAGUGCAUGGGAAAAUUGUCAUCAAGACAUAUCUACUAUCCAUCAUUUUGACGGAUAAAUAAAAAGUUAUGCUGAAGUCAAUUACAAUGGUCAAAACAUUAUGUUGAUUUAAAGAUAAAACUUGUGAUCAUAUUACGCAUAUAGACUCUAGAAAUGAAAACAACAUUUCAUCUCUGAGUAAGGGUAUUAAUAGUCUUGUUGAUAUAACUUCUUUUUAUUUUGGUAGGUUAUUUAGUAAAGUAAAUUCUGUAGAAGAAAAAAUAAAUAACUUAGGUAAUAUAAAAGAGUUAGAUUUAAAUAAUGAGUCUAAAGAAAUAUUAACUAGUGUUAAUAAUAAACUAGAUCAAGUUUUUAAUAGUAAUAUCGAGUCCGAUGUAAAUUUAGGUCCUUUAUAUUACGGUAAUGGUAAAGAUCAUAUUUUUGUUUUAUCUGAUGAAGAAAACACUUCAUCUGAUGAGUCGUCAUCUAUGUUAAAAAAUUAUAAAAAACAUAAAAAACGUAAAAAAGAUGAAAAACAAAAAGAAUAUGAUUUCCAAUCCUAUAAAACCCUUAUAGAACAUUGGAAAGAAAAAUUUACUAAUAGUAAUGAUCAACUUGAAAGAGUUGAAUAUUUAAAAUUAAUAGAAGAACUUUAUGAAAAACAUAAAGAUCUUUUCAGUAUGUUUAAUUAUCAUUAUAUGUUAAAAUAUGAUGAUAGUAGUAGUUCAAGUAAUUCUGAAAAAAACAGAAUUAUUAAAGAGACAAUCUGAAGAAGAAAAAACUUCAAUAGAUCAGGAUGAAGACAUAAAAGUCUCAACAUAUAAUUCUGAUGAAGAAACCACUUCAUCUGAAGAUGAAAAUAUUGAUGUUCCAGAACCCAUGGAUACUGAACCAACAGAUCCAUAUAGAAAAAGAAAAAUAGAAUUGGAUAGUCAAACAAAUGAUUAUCUGAUUAAAAAUUUAAAUAAAGAUCAAUAUACAACCAGUAUGUUGACUAGUAAUAUAAAAAAUUUAACCAUAAAGAUUAUAUUAGUAAAAGUUCACUAGGAUGGUUAGGUGUAAAACCAAAUACUCAUCAUAGGCAUAAAAAGAAAAUAUAAUAAACAAAUCAAAAGGAAACUAGAAAAUAAAAAAUUUUCUGGUCAUAUUACGAAUCAGUUUUCUAGAAGAACUUCUAAAGAACUUAAAGAUAUUUUAAAUAACAAGAUAAGUUAUAUGGUCAAAAACUUUUCUAACAAAAGAAAAGAAGUUGAAAAAAGAAUUAAAAGUCUUGAAAAACAAGACCUACAAAUAAGUCAUAAAAAGGAAAUAAAUCCUUAUAAAAUUAAAUCUGAUAAAAAUGAAAAAAUAUUUUUAUUAGAAAAUUCCAUAAAUAUUAAAAAAGUACAGACUAUUAUUCAACAAAUGAAAAUUGGGAAAAAUGAUAUUAUCACUCUUUCAAAUUUUCAACCUAAAAAGUAUUAUACAUAUAUUGAAAUUAACUUUCAAUUUAGAGAUUAUAAAAAAUAUUCUUUACAUGCUUUAUUAGAUACUGGAGCUACAACUAGUAGUUGCAGAAAAAAUGCAAUCCCUAUAGAAAAAUGGGAACCUAUGAAUAAUCCUAUAAGAGCAAUUGGUAUGGAUGGUAAAUAAACCAUAAUCCAAUAUAAAGCUAGAAAUAUACCAAUCUACAUAAACAAUGUUAGAUUUGUAAUUCCUAAGAUUUUAUGUUUUCCUGAAAUGCAUGGAGACAUAUUAUUAGGUAAUAAUUUUAUAUAUCAACACUUAUCUUUUUCUAUAGAUAGAAAUUUUGUUAUUUUAUCUGUGGAAAAUUUCUCAGUAGAAAUACCACUUGUAGAAAACCAUAAAUUUGUGUGUGAUCAGAAUUUUAUUCCAACAAGGAAAGAGCAAAUUAAACAACUAGAAACAAAUCAUUGGUUGUUUAAAAUUCUUGAAAAUAAUUUUAGUGAAGAACCAUUAAAAUUAUGGAAGAACAGUCCAAGAUACUGUGAAAUAAAAUUAAUUAAUCCUAAUAAAAUUAUUAGGGUUAAACCUAUAAUCUAAACUAAACAAGAUAUAGAUGAAUUUGAUGUUCAAAUAAAUGAACUUCUAGAAAAAGGAUUAAUAGAAAAAACUAGUAGUCCUCAUUCCAGUCCUCAUUCCAGUCCAGCUUUUAUGGUAAGAAAUCAUGCUGAAAUUAAAAGAGGAAAAGCUAGAAUGGUCAUUAAUUAUAAGAGAUUAAAUCAGAAUACUAUUUUUGAUGGAUAUUUUAUUCCACGAAAAGAAGUAUUAAUUAAUCAGGCUAAACAUGCUAAAUACUUUAGUAAAUUUGAUUGUAAAUCAGGAUUCUGGCAAAUCAUGCUAACUGAUGAAUCAAAACCUUUGACAGCCUUUAGUGUUCCUAAUGGUCAUUAUCAAUGGAAGGUAAUGCCAUUCGGUCUAUGUAAUGCCCCACAAGUUUUUCAAAGAUGGAUGGAUUCUAUUUUUAAUAAGUAUAAAAAAAUUUGUGUGGUAUAUAUAGAUGAUAUCUUAGUCUUUUCAAAAACACUUGAAGAGCAUAGAAAACAUCUNNNNNNNNNNNNNNNNNNNNNNNNNNNNNNNNNNNNNNNNNNNNNNNNNNNNNNNNNNNNNNNNNNNNNNNNNNNNNNNNNNNNNNNNNNNNNNNNNNNNNNNNNNNNNNNNNNNNNNNNNNNNNNNNNNNNNNNNNNNNNNNNNNNNNNNNNNNNNNNNNNNNNNNNNNNNNNNNNNNNNNNNNNNNNNNNNNNNNNNNNNNNNNNNNNNNNNNNNNNNNNNNNNNNNNNNNNNNNNNNNNNNNNNNNNNNNNNNNNNNNNNNNNNNNNNNNNNNNNNNNNNNNNNNNNNNNNNNNNNNNNNNNNNNNNNNNNNNNNNNNNNNNNNNNNNNNNNNNNNNNNNNNNNNNNNNNNNNNNNNNNNNNNNNNNNNNNNNNNNNNNNNNNNNNGAAACUGAUGCAUCACAAUAUUAUUGGGGAUGUUAUUCUGAAAGCUAAAACAGCUAAUAAUGAAGAACUUAUAUGCGGAUAUAGUUCAGGAAAAUUUAAGCCUAAUGAGGUUAAUUAUAUUAUUUAUGAAAAAGAAUUAUUAGCAAUUAAAAAAGGAAUAAAAACUUUCCUUAUUUAUUUAGCACCUGAAAAGUUCAUUAUAAGAACUGAUAAUCAGGCAGUCAAACAGUUUUUAACUAACAAUAGUUUAGAAACUGUUCCUAGAAGAAUUAGGUGGUAUAAUGAUUUAUGUACUUUUAAUUUUGAAGUUUUUUAUAUUAAAAGUGAUGAAAAUCUACUUGCUGAUUUCUUGAGCAGGCCUCAUGGAUAGAGGUAAACAACCUCUAAUAGUUGGUGAAUGGACAACCGUUCACAAAAAGCCCAACAAAGGGAAAGCAGAAUCAAACUCCAAAAAAGGAUUUGUACCUGCACAAAAACCAUUUUAUCCUAACCAAGGAUAUUAUGUGUCUUAUCCAAUGGUAAACCAACCAUUUGGAUCAAAUGCUUUAAAUUACCCUAUGGUAAACCAACCAAUGGGAAAUACUUUUUCAUUGACCCCAAACACGGUGAGUCAAUUACAAUGGUCCCAAAGUCUGAAUUCAGUAUCACAAACAAGUUAUGCUGAAGUCAUUAAGGGAGCUGAAAAUUUGUUGAAUCAACAACAAAUUCAAGAAUUAAAAGAUCUUUCAAAAAUUAAAGAUUUUUAUAACCCUGGUUUAUCACCAGAAUUUUAUUAUUUUAUAAAUGAAAUAUGGAAAACCCAUAUUUCAAACCAAAGAGCCAAUUUCCGAAGAGCUCUUACCAGAUUUUCAUCUUUCUUAGUUGAAAAAACAACUAAAGAAAAUGAAGCUGAAAAUUUAUUAUUAAAAUCUUUUUUAUAUAGAGAAUGGGAUGAAUUCCAAAUGGAAUUUAUGGAAAAAGAGGAGAUAAACAAUCUUCUUGAUAUUUUUCAAUAUCUUAUUUAUAAAGGGAAAAAUACCCCUAUUAUAAAUAAAAUAUUUAGAAUUUGUUUAUAUAAUAAAUCUAGACAAAUUUUACCAGUAGAAAUAUUCAACAAAAUUAAUGAAACUAUCUGUAACCAGCAGAUAAUUCAAUUUCAAAAAUCAUUUUCUGAACAUUUUCUUAAUUUAUAUUUUUUACGUUUUUUAUAAGUAUUGGGAUAUAUUUGUUUACACCCAAACUCUCAUUCGUUUUCUAAAAUUUUAGAACAAUAUUUAUGACUUAACUUAUUUUUGACUUGUUUAGCCGCUUUACUUUGCAAACAAUGUAAAGUUAUUCUUUCUUUUGCAAAGUUAAUUCUAUUACCUAUAGUAUCUAUAUUAUCUUUCGAAAGCCCUGAAUUUCUACAGUGCUUAUCUAAGUAAGAUACGUAUUUGUUUAUACAUAUCUCAUCCCAAGGUGGGGGUAACUUAUGGAAGUAUUGGUUUUUCCAAAACUCUAUAUUUUCAUUUUUUAAUUUUUGAUAUUCAUAAAGGAAUUUUUUAGAAAAUUCUUCUAAAUAUCUAAUAUCACAUAAUUUUAUUUUUGAAAGUAUGUAACUAGCUACACUAUCUUGAUCUUUUUUAUCACAAUAACCACAAAAUUCUGUUUUUAGAAUAGAGGUUAAUCCUUUUAAAAGGUCUUUAGGAGAUCCUAUUUGGUUUAAUAAAAGCUCCUUUUGUUCUUUUCCUUUCUCAGACUCUUCCAAUCGUCUAAGAAAUUGAAGAACAACACCUUGAAAAGUUCCAACAAAAUAGUUUAAAAACUUUUCUUUUAACCAAUUGUUGUUGUUUACAACAAUAGUCAUUGAUUGUGCCCAAUCAUCUAUAACUUUCUCAUAGUCUGAUAUAGGAGUAUUAGUUAAAUCUAAAUAUAUUCUUCCUUGAGCAACAUUUCUUUUAUUUAGAUCAUCUAUUCUUGGUUGAACAGGUUGAUUUGAAGUUUCUCCUGGAUAUUUAGUUGUGCAGAAUCUCUCUUUUCAUCUUUUAAAAGAUUUUCCAGCCAUUGUAAAGUCUGUCUUACAAAACAUCAUAAACAAUGAUGAUUUUUAUUACUAUAUCCAUAUUGAAAUUAGUAGUCUAAUUGGUAUAGCUGAACAAGAAAAAUUUUAUCAGCCAUAUCAAAUUUGGAUAAUUAAAAAGAUGGUUGGAACACCCUAAUUAUCUGCUGUAAAUAAAGAUAAAGAACAUUUGUCAAAAACAAUUGAUAAAUGUUAUACUAAAUUUGAAAAUUAUCAAGUCCAAACAGGAUUAGAUUUAUUAUCACAAGCCCAUUAUCUUCUCCAUGAUGAAAUCUAUAAACUAUGGACGGAUGGCAGAAGAAUAUCCUAAAGGUUGUAUAAGCCAAGGCAACCAAAAGGGGUGUCAAUGAUCUAAACACUAUGAAAGUCUCCACAAUGGCAUGGUUCAUGACGUAAAAAUCCAAACUUGCCCAAAACCCACCCUAAAGCAAAAGUUAAGUAAUGUAAUGCAGUCAAUAAACCUGGGUAAUUGAAUUUGGUAAUUGCAACUUUGUUUAUAACAGUGCGUAAGCUUGAACAAAAUGCAUAACCAAUUACAAAACUGCUUGUAGCAUUGAAGUUUUUUAGUGGAUUCAAAUCUAAUGGUUGACAUUUUGGUAACCCAGAAAGAUUAUAAAUUUGUUCUCAAAAAAUAACUAACACCCAAAGUUAAAAACAACAGGUUUUAAACGAAAUUGACAAUGGCAGAUGCAUUAAUGGGAAUUAUAACAGGAUGUGGGUAGUAGAGAAUGUUAUAUGAUUUGACAAGAAAAAUCAACGAAUAAACAAAUUUAAAAGUAUAAUGGUGAAAUUAAAAGAGAAAUACAAAGGAAACAGAGAUCGAAAUGAAUGGUUGUGGGAAGAGCUGAAACGAGGUUUUAUGGAGAGAUGAAAGGUAUGGGGUUGGCCACUAUAAGCAAAAUCAGCGUGUUUCAGAGGUUGUUUCCCCACGUCCCACGACUCUGGUUAGGGAAGGAUGAUGAAAUAUGACCAUGAAAAAAGUGAAAGGGAAUUUUGAUUGGUUGAAAAGUUUGACUUGGUCAAAGAAGUAUUUUAUAGUGGAUUUGGUGUGCCAAGUCAGAAGUCCAUUAUGGGGUUAAUGGUUGGUCGCUAAAAUAAAAAAUUUUCUAAGGCAGUGACUAAAAUACAAAUCUUUUAAUUUGAGGGAUAAAACUAGAUAGUUUACCCAAAAUAUUUUUAGAUGACACUGAAACGUGUUCCUCACAUUUAGCCCCGUAUUCCGAGUGUCAGUGUCACCAGUAAAGGGAGCGAAUGUAAUACUUUUCUUCUCAUGGCUGCUUCAAAUGAAUCUGACCACCUUCUUUUUGCACGCACCGACAUAGGUAAUUAAUGCUAAUUAAGUGGGAUCGAAAAGGUAAAGAGGAGAGAGAGAAGAAAUAAAAUGGAGAGCUCCGGUGUAGUGUCAACCACAACUCCGACGUCUUUCAGGCUCCGAUGGGACGUGUUCCUCAGUUUCAGAGGCGAAGAUACUCGUCACGGUAUCACCAACACCCUGUAUUGCUCGCUUGUGGGAGAAGGCUUGCGAGUCUUUCGAGAUGAUGACGCUUUGAGACGUGGAGACGAGAUCGCACCGAGUUUGGUGGAAGCCAUCGAAGACUCGGCUGCUUUCGUUGUCAUUCUCUCUGAAAAUUACGCUACCUCCCAUUGGUGCCUUGAAGAAUUGGCGAGGAUCUGCGAGUUGCAUAGCCGGAGCCGGAGACUGGUUCUGCCUGUGUUCUAUGGGGUUGACCCCUCUCAUGUUCGAAAACAGAGGGGACCUUUUAAGGAAGCCUUCUUUAGCCACGAAAACAGAUUCGGAGAAAAACAGGCCAAC
RNAcentral lists this long non-coding RNA (23874 nucleotides) under Gossypium raimondii (Peruvian cotton). RNAcentral describes it as "long non-coding RNA (GRAI_LNC004121)". The stretch from base 22104 to 22186 matches the Rfam family "MIR8703 microRNA precursor family". Lineage: Eukaryota; Viridiplantae; Streptophyta; Magnoliopsida; Malvales; Malvaceae. The record is from RNAcentral.